Molecule: ribosomal RNA, 253 nt
Filed under: uncultured bacterium
Lineage: Bacteria
Description: partial 16S ribosomal RNA
Rfam family: Bacterial small subunit ribosomal RNA
Source: RNAcentral
UACGAAGGGGGCGAGCGUUGUUCGGAUUUACUGGGCGUAAAGGGCGCGUAGGCGGCCUGGCAAGUGGAAGGUGAAAUCCCUCGGCUUAACCGAGGAACUGCCCUCCAAACUGCUUGGCUUGAGUCCGGGAGAGGUGAGUGGAAUUCCCAGUGUAGCGGUGAAAUGCGUAGAUAUUGGGAGGAACACCGGUGGCGAAGGCGGCUCUCUGGACCGAUACUGACGCUGAGGCGCGAAAGCGUGGGGAGCAAACAGG